RNAcentral lists this ribosomal RNA (540 nucleotides) under Triticum aestivum (bread wheat). RNAcentral's name for it is "partial small subunit ribosomal RNA". The record is from RNAcentral. Lineage: Eukaryota; Viridiplantae; Streptophyta; Magnoliopsida; Poales; Poaceae.
AUGGUAGAUUUGUUUGGUCCACCACCUCUUUUGGUUAAUGGAAUUGUUUUAACUUUGGAACAUGUGAUGCAAAGGCUUGAAAUUAUUGAAAAUAAAGUUGCCACUGUAGAGUUAAUUGAAAAUUUGGGUAAAAAGAUCCACAACCAAAUUACCCAAUAUGGAUCUACGGUUGGAGUUACUCUGAUUUUUUUUAAAGAAAAGGAACCUAUAGUUAACGAGAGAAUAGACCAAGAUUCCACAAGAAUCGAUAAACUUGAGGAUAUUAUUACCAACUUAGGGUCCGCCUUUUCUUCCGUGAAAAAUACUCCAAAUCCUCCUACUACCAAAAUUUCCAAAUUAAUGUAUGUUCCUAAAAAUAAGGGUGAAUCUUCUAGUAAGGAAAAUGCAUAUCUCAAAUCAAUUAGUGUUCACCUCAGCUUUUUCGCUAUCAUUAAGGAACCUUUUGCUACAAACGAAUUUCUUGAUUUCUUGCCUAGGAGUUUAAUCAUUAAUAAAAAGAAGGAAAUCCUAAGGGUUAUAAGUGUUCUAUUGAAGAAUUGA